UUAUCCAAAAUCAAUUGACCAUAGAUGUGUGUGUUUGAAUUCUUUAUUCUGUUUCAUUGAUUUCUAUAUCUCUUCUUAUACUAAUAUCACACUAUCUUGAUUACUUUUAUAGCAAGUUUUGAAGUCAUGAAAUCAUGUAGUGUUACUAAUGUUCUUUUUCAAAAUUGUUUUGGCUAGUCUAGGUUGUUUGCAUUUCCAUAUACACUUUGGCUUCAGCUAGUCAAUUUCUACCAAGAAAAAAAAAAUCCUGAUUGGAUUUUGGUACGGAUUGUGUUGAAUCUCUAUCAGUUUAGGGGAGAACUAACAUCUUAAUAAUAUUGCUUUACAAGUCAGUGAAUAUAUCUCUCUCUUCAGGUUUUCUUUAAUUUCUUGUAGCAAUCUUUUGUUAGACUGCAGCUUCAUAAGCAAAAUAAAUCUCAUUUUAAGCCACUAAGUUUUGAGGGGUUUGUUAACCAAUAAUAGAUAACUGGAAGAUAUUUUGGUACCUGGAAGUGGGUGCUGCUAUAAAAACCUAUAAAAAUAUGUGGCUUUGGGACUGAAUGGUUUGCUGAAGCUGGAAGGACCUUGAGAAUAUUAUUAAAGUCUAAGGGCCUUGAAGAGACUCAUAGUAGUACUCAUGUAAGCCUUUGAGGUGAUGACUGAAAGGAAACUGAGGAUAACGUUACUGAAAGUGGGAAGAAAAGGGGUAUUUAUUAUGCAGUAGCAGAAAGCUAAGCAACACUAUUAUCUGUACUAAUGUGGAAAAUAGAACUAGAAAAUCAUGGAGAUUUCCAAGGAGAAUGUUGACAAUGCCACCUGGCUUCUAGCUGCCUAUAGUAAAAUGCCAGAUGAGAGUGUUAAGCAACAGAAAGGACAUUUAUGUAUAAAGGAGCCAGAAUUUACUGAGACCAAAAAUAAAACUUUGUCAUUCUAGUCUGUUCAAAUGGCAAAUGAUGCUAAAAUUAAAAAAAAAAAAAAAAAAAAAGGCUUUUGGAUAAAGAUCAAAUCCAAGGCACUGUCAGGAAAAUAAGGGAUAAAGAUGAUGUCAAGGGUAUCAUUCAACUCUUCAAAAAUACUUGAGGGUAGUAUCUCAAUCAGAUAAAUCUGUCUAAGGACCUUAAAGGAAAUGCAUUGCAGAUUGUUUCUGCUAAACAAUAGGGCUUUUAAGAAUGUCAAGGGUGCUUUCCUAUAGCAACCUUACAGGAAAGUUAGGGUCUUCAUAAAUGUGUGGGGAUAGCUUUUGUCUAAUGGAGUGAACCCCAAUAUGAUUUAUAGGAGACCCACAAAGUUUUAAGCAAGGCGUACUUGCAGAAACACUGUCAACUUGGACUAAAAAGGACAGAGACAAUACAACAUGAAGUGAGGGCUUUGGACUUCUGAAGUACUACUGGCAGGAAGCAGGGUGAAAAAACUACUCAGCUGCAAAUGUCAGCAUUUUUUUAUGGAAAAAGAUAACUCAGGGUAGAAAUAUGGGCUCACAUAGUAGAGCUAGGAAUGCUAUACUGCAUUCCUAGACAGCAGGCCUGAGUUAAGGAACUAACUAACAUGUGCCUGGCCGAAUUACAGAAUGGGUGUGGACAAGUGACUCCUGGUUGCCUCUCCUUUUCUCUCUUUUCAGUGGGAAGGUCUAUGCCUCUUCUACCAUAUGUUUGUGUUUGGAGGACAGACAUAUAACUUGUCUCUUUAGGUCACCAGGUUUUUAGAUUGAGAAUAGCUAUACUUCAUGAGGUGUGCUUGAUAAAUGGCAUCUAAGGAGACUGAUCCACACCUAGAUGAGAUACUGAAUUUUGAGCCUAGCCUUGAUGCUGUAACAGGUAAGACUUUUGCAGUGGUGAAGUUGCCUAAGAAAGUGGAGUGUAUUUUGCAUGUAAAAGGAAUGUAAAAAUUUGUGGCCAAAGGGUAUGUUUGUAAUUUACUUGACACUCCUUCCACAGAAGGUGAAGUCUAAGUGCCCUUCCCCUGCUAUGCGUGAGCCUUAGUGACUUGCUUCUAUAGUAACAAGCAAAAUGAGGCAGAAAUGAUGUUGCAUGACUUCCAAGGCUAUGUCAUAAAAGGUGAUAUAAUUUCCAGCGGGCAUCCUCUUUUUCAGGACACAUGCCUUGAGUGUCCUGAGCUGCCAUUUAAGAAGCCUGGCUACCCUAAAGCCUCUAUGCUGGAGAAUCUAUGUGGAGGUAUCAUAGAGAGAGUAACAGUAAGAUGCCUAAGAAGCCCCAGCUUUCCCUGCCCCAGGCUUUUGGGUCUUUUCAGCCUCAGAACCAGAUAUGUAUAUAAGUGAAUGAACCAGCACCCCAGCAGCCCCAGCCAACACGGAUUAGGAAUGAGCUAUCCCUGCUAGCCCUGUUCACAUUUCAUAUUUAUGAUAAACAUGUGUUGUUUUAAGCACCUUAAAGUUCUGAGGUGGUUUGCUACACAGGAUUAGAUAACUGGAAAUUAACCUUUUACAUGUCUUAUUCUCCUUACUGCUACAUUUACUAUUAAGAGGCAGAACCUGUUUUGCAUGACUUUGUUUUUUAAUACACACACACACACGGCCCCAAAUAGUGUUUUUUUCACAUAGUGUACACUCAAUAAAUCCAGUUGGUGAUAUUAAAUGGUUUGGAGUACAACCCAGAAUACAUACAUCUGGUUCUUUUAAAGCAGCUCCAUUCUAGCAAUAUAGUUGGAUCACUUUACAUUUCCUCUUGAAACUUUAUUCUUGUUGCUUUGUUUACCUUAGGUUACUUUCUGCCUUUGGCUCUAGUUCAUAUUCUAGUACCUUGUAUCUCUUUCACUUCAUCUUGAUUUUUUUACUCCUUAACCUAAUUUUUGCCUCAUGGCCUGAUGAUGUUAAUUAUAAAAUGUAUUGAGCUAUAUGUAAGUUUCGUAAGGUCAAGAGCCACUGUAUCCCUUGGAACAGUGCCUAGUACAUAGUAAACAUUGGGUUGAUUGAUCUUAACUAUGUGAGAGACACUGAAGUAACUUAUAUACACAGUCUCCUUUAAUCCUCAUAACACAUUAUGAAAAUGUAUUAUGUCAGUUUUACAGAUCAGAAAAUUGAAGUUUCAAUUAAUGAAGUGACUUUCCCAAGGUAGCUCUGUCAACAGUAGAGACAGGAUUCAAAUCAAAGAGAUGGGGUCUGACUCUGUCACUCAGGCUGAAGUGCAGUGGCAGGAUUAUUGCUCACUGAAGCCUCAAACUCUUGAAUUCAAGUGAUCCUGCGGUGUCAGCCUCCUAGUAGCUGGGACUACGGUAUAAUGAGGUCAAUGUUUACAGCCAGUUCCAUAAAGUAUUUCCAGACAAUAAAUUUCCUCAAUAUUUAUUUAAGGGUGAUUUGGCAACUGCUGUUAAAUGAUGGACAAAUUUCAAACAUCAUGGGAAUAGCUGUAUGUAUCCUUAAACAUGUUAGCUGAACAUAUUUUUAAAAUCCUGAAGGGUGAAGAAAGUAUAAGAAGUGUUUGCCAGAAUUCUUAAUCUACAAAUUCUUCUUUUGCUCUUUCUGUAAAGAUAUACUUAACAAUUAUUUAUAGAGGGCUUACUGUGUGCAAAUACCUAGAUGCUAUGGGAGAUACAAAUUCAUUGAGACAGUUCCCUUUUUAAUGACUUUUUAAUUUAAUAGUGAGUUCAUCCCCUUAUUCAUUCAGCCAUUUAAUCAAUAAAUAAUAUUGAUUGAGUACCUAUUGAGUACAGGCAUUGUGAAAGCAGUGAUUACCCAUUAGAAGAAAAUAAGCUAGAACUGAUCCCUAGCCUUCUAAGAAUUGCAGUCUACUAGGAGCUACCAUAUAAAAUACAGUAGAACAUUGUGAUUGAAUUAUUUAUAGAAAUUAAGUUAAAAUAUACCACUUUUGGCUAGGAUGCUCAGGUAAGGCUUUCUUGACGUUAUACUUUCAGAUACUUUUAAGUCACUAUAUGAAAUAAAUGCUCAGAGGCUUCAGUUUUGAAAUGAAUUAUAUAAGAGUAAUAGAAACCAAAGGUAGUCCAGUAGAUUGUAAAAUGGUCAUAAUUCUUACUCCUUUCUAUAUUCAUACAUGGUACAAUAUGAUGUUGCAUUUUCUUUCAUCAAGAAGUGGAAUCUGUUUCUCUACCUCUGGUAUUUGGGUGGACGUUUUGACUUGAUUUUGCCCAUAAAAUAUAGCAUAUGUGAUGAUGUGCCAGUUCUGAGCCUAGGCCUCAAGCGUGCAUGCUUUUUCUGUCUUUCUUAGAAUUCUCCUCAGCUGCCAUGAAUAAGGUUAGGAAAUCCAUCUGAAAGAUGAGAGACCAGGUAGAUGUGCCAUCCCAGCCGAGGCCAUCUUAGACAACUAUCAUGCAGCCAAUCCAGAAACUGACCUCAUGCAUUAGUGAGAUCAGCAGUGACCACAAGUACCACCCACAUGGGCCCAGUUGAAAUUGACAACCCACCAAAUUGUGAACUAAAUAAAUAUUUAUUGAUUUAAACUCCUACAUUUUAGGUGGUUUAUUACAUAGCAACUAGGUGACAUGCCAGUUAAUCAAAAUCUUCCUAAUGCUUUAGAGUGUGUGGGGGGGUAGCAUCGUUAAUUCAUGGAAGUGCAUAUAGGAAACAAUAUUUCAAUUACCAAGCCCUUAAUACUAUUUGUAUAAUAUACACAUUUUUUUUUGUAAUAUUUUUAGCAAGCCAACUUUCUUUCCUGUGUUGAAUUCCUAUGGCAAAUAUGGAGUUAGGAUUUAGAAUACGCACAGACUAUAUUGCUUUCCAAAAAAGUUGUAUCAAAUUAAUAGGGAAUAGGUAUCCAUUUUCACUAAAAUAAUGUGUUAUAAAUUUUUAGUGAGUGUUUUGUUUUGAUUUGGAGGGGGCCACUUUCGUAGGUAUAGGGGAUACACCAAAGUUUUAUUCACUUGCAUCUUAGGAUCACUUACAAAAAUAGUUUGUGAUCAGGAAUAUGAAUGGGCCAGAGAGAAUCAUUGAGAACCUGCGCUUUGCUGUGGUUAAAGAAAUAGUAUAGUGAGGAAGAAAGAAUGGGAGAUUAGGAGUCCAAACAACUGUAUGUACUCAGAAAAUAUAAUUUCCUUUGCAUUUUUAGAAGGUUAUUUUUUUUCUUCACAAAUUUUUUCUUGUUUCCCCAAAUUAAGAGGUAAUGUUAAAAAUCAGCUGUUUGACUCUGUUUUACAACAAAGUUAAAGCCAAUUUUUAUUUCCUUGUAAAAGAACAUCUGAUUUGUAUUGUCUGAAUAAAUUAUUUUUUAAAACUUAAUGUGCACAAUCAUUUCAUGAACAAAAUGCCCUUUUACAUUCUUAAACAUGUUAAUAUGUAGAAAACACUAAUAAAAAAUCAUUUCAGGUUUUCUUAAAAUUUCUAUAUUUUUCCUUGAAACAGUUAUUUUUCUUAUGUCUUCAGAAUUUUCAUUAAAUUUACAGCUGCAUUAUUCUGUCAUUCCAACCUGAUAUGAGUCAGCUCCUUUCCUUUUUAAAAAUAACUUAAAUAGGACCUACUAUAAUCCUGGGGACAUAGAGCAUAUCAGAAGAUUUCAACCAGCCUGAUCAUAAUCUUAUCAGAGAAUAUGAUGAGAAAUGUUUCAUCUCCAUUUUCCUGAGGAGGGUAAGUUAUACUGAGGAGAGAAGAAUUUUAUCAUGUGAUUCAUUUCACAGGGCUGGAUUAUGCAGUGGUGUAGAGGUAGCAGUCAGUACAGUGACUAUUAACAUUUUAUGAUUUACGCUGAGUGGAUGGCUUUUGAAAAGGUUCCACUUGUCAGGUUCCUUUCCACAGUUAAAUACCUUUUUUUAUUUUUCAAGGAAGAGGUUAUGUAAUUGCCAGAUAUACCUAUGCUAUAUUUAUUAAGUGUGCUGAUAAAUAAACUCUAACAUCUAACAACUUGAGGCCUGCCUUACUAGCACCUUCAGAUUUCCUGAGAUUGCUGAUUAAACCUCAGAAAUGAAGGUAAUUUGUUUUUUGUUUCUAAAGGUACUUCUGUCUUGGAGCUCAAGAUAAGGUGAAGAAGUCCACUGCCAAUGAAAACCUCAGACAAGGCUUCAGUCUCUUCUGUUCAUUUGUCUAGUAGCUUCUCCUGGUAGGAAAUGGCUUCUUAAAUUGUGUAAAAAGGUGUUGUGUUUACUUCAGCUGGAGUUUUUCAAACUAUAUUUUUCAGAGUUGAUGAAGCUUAUUAGGUUUCUGGUCUGGCACAUAAGAACCUUGGAAGUCAUACUCUGUACUAGCAAGUAAAAAGCUGAACAAACUGAAAAUCAAUAACUGUCUGUGUGAGAAGUGAAGUCAUAGGACAAUCACUGCCCCCCAAAUUAAAGAAACAGACAGACAGAGAGAAUCACAAUUUACUGGAGCAGAAAACGCACAAACAGAAACCUCCACUGGAACCAGUGGCUGAGAAGGAAAAACCUAAACUGUAAUUGACAAAUUGCUGGAAGCUCAGUGUGAGCAAGUCUGAGAG
This is a non-coding RNA of Microcebus murinus (gray mouse lemur), 6353 nucleotides long. The record is from RefSeq and is a predicted model, not a curated record. NCBI's taxonomy places the organism in Eukaryota, Metazoa, Chordata, Mammalia, Primates, Cheirogaleidae.